GCGAUCACACCAGCACUGAUGCACCAGAUCCCAUCAGAAUUCUGCAGUUAAGCGUGCUUUGACAAUAGUAGUACUAGCAUAGGUGACCCUUUGGAAGUUUUCGUGUUACACCUU
Non-coding RNA from Ilex paraguariensis (yerba mate), 114 nucleotides. NCBI's taxonomy places the organism in Eukaryota, Viridiplantae, Streptophyta, Magnoliopsida, Aquifoliales, Aquifoliaceae. The record is from the annotation of a GenBank genome assembly.